CGGACGGGUGAGUAACGCGUGAGAAUCUGCCCUCAGGAGGGGGAUAACGGCUGGAAACGGCCGCUAAUACCCCAUAUGCCGCGAGGUGAAAUGAGAAAUCGCCUGAGGAUGAGCUCGCGUCUGAUUAGCUAGUUGGUGGGGUAAGAGCCUACCAAGGCAUCGAUCAGUAGCUGGUCUGAGAGGAUGAUCAGCCACACUGGGACUGAGACACGGCCCAGACUCCUACGGGAGGCAGCAGUGGGGAAUUUUCCGCAAUGGGCGCAAGCCUGACGGAGCAACGCCGCGUGAGGGAUGAAGGCCUCUGGGCUGUAAACCUCUUUUCUCAAGGAAGAAGAACUGACGGUACUUGAGGAAUAAGCCACGGCUAAUUCCGUGCCAGCAGCCGCGGUAAUACGGGAGUGGCAAGCGUUAUCCGGAAUUAUUGGGCGUAAAGCGUCCGCAGGCGGUCUUGAAAGUCUGUUGUUAAAGCGUGGAGCUCAACUCCAUUUCAGCAAUGGAAACUAGAAGACUAGAGUGUGGUAGGGGCAGAGGGAAUUCCCGGUGUAGCGGUGAAAUGCGUAGAUAUCGGGAAGAACACCAGUGGCGAAGGCGCUCUGCUGGNCCAUAACUGACGCUCAUGGACGAAAGCCAGGGGAGCGAAAGGGAUUAGAUACCCCUGUAGUCCUGGCCGUAAACGAUGAACACUAGGUGUCGGGGGAAUCGACCCCCUCGGUGUCGUAGCCAACGCGUUAAGUGUUCCGCCUGGGGAGUACGCACGCAAGUGUGAAACUCAAAGGAAUUGACGGGGGCCCGCACAAGCGGUGGAGUAUGUGGUUUAAUUCGAUGCAACGCGAAGAACCUUACCAGGGUUUGACAUCCUGCGAAUCUUUUGGAAACAUAAGAGUGCCUUCGGGAGCGCAGAGACAGGUGGUGCAUGGCUGUCGUCAGCUCGUGUCGUGAGAUGUUGGGUUAAGUCCCGCAACGAGCGCAACCCACGUCUUUAGUUGCCAGCAUUAAGUUGGGCACUCUAGAGAGACCGCCGGUGAUAAACCGGAGGAAGGUGUGGAUGACGUCAAGUCAUCAUGCCCCUUACAUCCUGGGCUACACACGUACUACAAUGCUACGGACAGAGGGCAGCAAACUCGCGAGAGCUAGCAAAUCCCAUAAACCGUGGCUCAGUUCAGAUCGUAGGCUGCAACUCGCCUACGUGAAGGAGGAAUCGCUAGUAAUCGCAGGUCAGCAUACUGCGGUGAAUACGUUCCCGGGCCUUGUACACACCGCCCGUCACACCAUGGAAGU
This 1278-nucleotide ribosomal RNA is filed under the name Cyanobium sp. LEGE 07173. RNAcentral describes it as "bacterial SSU rRNA". It matches the Rfam family "Bacterial small subunit ribosomal RNA", at positions 99 to 1411 of the family's 1533-position model. The record is from RNAcentral. Lineage: Bacteria; Bacillati; Cyanobacteriota; Cyanophyceae; Synechococcales; Prochlorococcaceae.